This 963-nucleotide ribosomal RNA is filed under the name uncultured Prevotella sp. RNAcentral's name for it is "bacterial SSU rRNA". It matches the Rfam family "Bacterial small subunit ribosomal RNA", at positions 28 to 984 of the family's 1533-position model. Lineage: Bacteria; Pseudomonadati; Bacteroidota; Bacteroidia; Bacteroidales; Prevotellaceae. The record is from RNAcentral.
GAUGAACGCUAGCUACAGGCUUAACACAUGCAAGUCGCGGGGCAGCAUGGGGGUUGCUUGCAACCCCUGAUGGCGACCGGCGCACGGGUGAGUAACGCGUAUCCAACCUGCCCUUCACCACGGGAUAACCCGGCGAAAGUCGGACUAAUACCGUAUGUUGUCCAUUGACGGCAUCCGAUUUGGACGAAAGGCUUAGCGGUGAGGGAUGGGGAUGCGUCCGAUUAGCUUGACGGCGGGGUAACGGCCCACCGUGGCAACGAUCGGUAGGGGUUCUGAGAGGAAGGUCCCCCACACUGGAACUGAGACACGGUCCAGACUCCUACGGGAGGCAGCAGUGAGGAAUAUUGGUCAAUGGGCGGAAGCCUGAACCAGCCAAGUAGCGUGCAGGAUGACGGCCCUAUGGGUUGUAAACUGCUUUUAUGCGGGGAUAAAGGAGCCCACGUGUGGGCUUUUGCAGGUACCGCAUGAAUAAGGACCGGCUAAUUCCGUGCCAGCAGCCGCGGUAAUACGGAAGGUCCGGGCGUUAUCCGGAUUUAUUGGGUUUAAAGGGAGCGUAGGCCGCCCCUUAAGCGUGUUGUGAAAUGCGGGUGCUCAACAUCCGACUUGCAGCGCGAACUGGGGGGCUUGAGUGCGCCGAAAGUAGGCGGAAUUCGUGGUGUAGCGGUGAAAUGCUUAGAUAUCACGAAGAACUCCGAUUGCGAAGGCAGCUUACUGUAGCGCAACUGACGCUGAUGCUCGAAAGCGUGGGUAUCGAACAGGAUUAGAUACCCUGGUAGUCCACGCGGUAAACGAUGGAUGCUCGUUGUCGGCCUCUGUGGCCGGUGACCAAGCGAAAGCGUUAAGCAUCCCACCUGGGGAGUACGCCGGCAACGGUGAAACUCAAAGGAAUUGACGGGGGCCCGCGCAAGCGGUGGAGCAUGUGGUUUAAUUCGACGCAACGCGAGGAACCUUACCAGCGUUUGA